GUUCGGAUUGCAGGCUGCAACUCGCCUGUAUGAAGUCAGAAUUGCUAGUAAUCGCGGAUCAGCAUGCCGCGGUGAAUACGUUCCCGGGCCUUGUACACACCGCCCGUCACACCAUGAGAGCCGGGAACACCCGAAGUCCGUAGUCUAACCGCAAGGAGGACGCGGCCGAAGGUGGGUUUGGUAAUUGGGGUGAAGUCGUAACAAGGUAAC
This 210-nucleotide ribosomal RNA is filed under the name uncultured bacterium. Its description in RNAcentral is "partial 16S ribosomal RNA". It matches the Rfam family "Bacterial small subunit ribosomal RNA", at positions 1291 to 1500 of the family's 1533-position model. The record is from RNAcentral.